This is a long non-coding RNA of Mercenaria mercenaria, 1076 nucleotides long. RefSeq lists it as uncharacterized. Lineage: Eukaryota; Metazoa; Mollusca; Bivalvia; Venerida; Veneridae. The transcript is spliced from 3 exons. The record is from RefSeq and is a predicted model, not a curated record.
UCUCUCUUCUAACUUCCGCACUUCUGACUUCUAACAUCCUGACUUUCGACUUCUGAUUUCCAACUUCCACACUUCCGACUUCUGACUUCUUACUUCCUUCUUCUAACUUCUGCACUUCUGACUUCUAACGUCCGCACUUCUAACUUCCAACUUCCUGACUUUCGACUUCUGAUUUCCAACUUCCACACUUCUUGACUUCUUACUUCCUUCUUCUAACUUCCACACUUUUUACUUCUAACUUCCACACUUCUGACUUCUAACUUCUUGACUUCCGACUUCCAACUUCCGCACUUCUGACUUCCAUCUUUCCCUCUUUGGAAGUCGGAAGUAAGAAGUGUGGAAGUUGGAAGUGGGAAGUACGGAAAUCAAUUGUCCCUCCAGGGCUUCCAUAAGAAAUUGUUAUGGAUGUAUGUGUGACCACUUAGCCUAAAAAGUAACCUAUGGAUGGAUAACGUACUUGAUUUUUUUCUUUAAUGCAGGAAAUAUUACUCAAUUCUACAUGAUUUAUCUAUGAAACAUGUAUUUCUUAAUUCCGAAAGUUAUUGUUUUGAGCAAAAAUAACUAUAUUUCCCUUUCAUGUAUAACAUAACUUAGCUCAAAUGGCCGCAUUCGAUGACUAUCGAAAUAUGUUACUAGAGCUAUAACAAAUGUGAUGCAUGCCUUCACCUGGACUUCGUUGACAACACAGGACCAUAAUCCAGGGAAUUAAAGAGCAAUUAACAAAAUCCCUUGUGCACAAACAGACAAUGACGAAAGCAGAUAUUUUAAAGACAGUCAGAUUACUACGCUAACUUAAUGUGAUAAGGCAUAUUGAAUAAUUUACAAAGUAUGAUGCUGCCGUACUACUUUUGUUAAUGAUAACGUCAACACUAGUAGGGCACUGGGUAGCUUGUGUGUUUGAUGCCAUUGCAUUCUGGGAGUGACCGCACUUGGACAAAAGCCAUAGGAUGGUUAGUGUCGCCACAAGUACCAAUGAAGCUUACGUUGUCAACGUCACAAAUAGUGAACCAGCAUAGAGACGUAUUACAUCACAGCAUUUUACGUUUACGUUGCUGACGUCAAUAGGAUUAGGAAAC